CCAAUAGCGUAUAUUAAAGUUGUUGCAGUUAAAAAGCUCGUAGUUGAAUUUCGGGAUCAAUUAGUCGGUCGUGCCUCUGGUACGUACUGGUUUUAUUGGUUCCUCCCUUCUGACGAAACAUGAUGUCAUUAAUUUGGUGUCUUGGGGAAUCAGGACCGUUACUUUGAAAAAAUUAGAGUGUUUAAAGCAGGCUCGCGCUUGAAUACAUUAGCAUGGAAUAAUGAAAUAGGACGUUUGAUUCUAUUUUGUUGGUUUCUAGGAUCGACGUAAUGAUUAAUAGGGAUAGUUGGGGGCAUUAGUAUUCAAUUGUCAGAGGUGAAAUUCUUGGAUUUAUUGAAGACUGACUACUGCGAAAGCAUUUGCCAAGGAUGUUUUCAUUAAUCAAGAACGAAAGUUAGGGGAUCGAAGACGAUCAGAUACCGUCGUAGUCUUAACCAUAAACUAUGCCGACUAGGGAUCGGAUGAUGUUAAUUUUUUAAUGACUCAUUCGGCGCCUUACG
Molecule: ribosomal RNA, 500 nt
Filed under: uncultured Glomeromycotina
Lineage: Eukaryota; Fungi; Glomeromycota
Description: SSU rRNA
Rfam family: Eukaryotic small subunit ribosomal RNA
Source: RNAcentral